RNAcentral lists this ribosomal RNA (254 nucleotides) under uncultured bacterium. RNAcentral's name for it is "partial 16S ribosomal RNA". It matches the Rfam family "Bacterial small subunit ribosomal RNA", at positions 524 to 776 of the family's 1533-position model. The record is from RNAcentral.
CACGUAGGCACCAAGCGUUGUCCGGAUUUAUUGGGCGUAAAGAGCUCGUAGGCGGUUCAGUAAGUCGGGUGUGAAAACUCUGGGCUCAACCCAGAGCUGCCAUCCGAUACUGCUGUGACUGGAGUCCGGUAGGGGAGUGGGGAAUUCCUAGUGUAGCGGUGAAAUGCGCAGAUAUUAGGAGGAACACCGGUGGCGAAGGCGCCACUCUGGGCCGGUACUGACGCUGAGGAGCGAAAGCGUGGGUAGCAAACAGG